UACGAAGGGGGCUAGCGUUGCUCGGAAUUACUGGGCGUAAAGGGCGUGUAGGCGGUUUAACAAGUCAGAUGUGAAAUCCUAGGGCUUAACCCUGGAAGUGCAUUUGAAACUGUUAGACUAGAGUGUGGUAGAGGAUGGUGGAAUACCCAGUGGAGAGGUGAAAUUCGUAGAUAUUGGGUGGAACACCGGUGGCGAAGGCGGCCAUCUGGGCCACAACUGACGCUGAGGCGCGAGAGCGUGGGUAGCAAACAGG
This 253-nucleotide ribosomal RNA is filed under the name uncultured bacterium. Its description in RNAcentral is "partial 16S ribosomal RNA". It matches the Rfam family "Bacterial small subunit ribosomal RNA", at positions 524 to 776 of the family's 1533-position model. The record is from RNAcentral.